This 726-nucleotide ribosomal RNA is filed under the name uncultured bacterium. Its description in RNAcentral is "bacterial SSU rRNA". It matches the Rfam family "Bacterial small subunit ribosomal RNA", at positions 68 to 839 of the family's 1533-position model. The record is from RNAcentral.
GCUCACUUUCGGGUGGGAGUGGCAGACGGGUGAGUAACACGUGGGAACGUACCCUUUGGUUCGGGACAACUCUGGGAAACUGGAGCUAAUACCGGAUACGCCCUUUUGGGGAAAGGUUUACUGCCGAAGGAUCGGCCCGCGUCUGAUUAGCUAGUUGGUGGGGUAACGGCCUACCAAGGCGACGAUCAGUAGCUGGUCUGAGAGGAUGAUCAGCCACACUGGGACCGAGACACGGCCCAGACUCCUACGGGAGGCAGCAGUGGGGAAUAUUGGACAAUGGGCGCAAGCCUGAUCCAGCCAUGCCGCGUGAGUGAUGAAGGCCUUAGGGUUGUAAAGCUCUUUUAUCCGGGACGAUAAUGACGGUACCGGAGGAAUAAGCCCCGGCUAACUUCGUGCCAGCAGCCGCGGUAAUACGAAGGGGGCUAGCGUUGCUCGGAAUCACUGGGCGUAAAGGGCGCGUAGGCGGCGUUUUAAGUCGGGGGUGAAAGCCUGUGGCUCAACCACAGAAUGGCCUUCGAUACUGGGACGCUUGAGUCUGGUAGAGGUUGGUGGAACUGCGAGUGUAGAGUUGAAAUUCGUAGAUAUUCGCAAGAACACCGGUGGCGAAGGCGGCCAACUGGACCGGCACUGACGCUGAGGCGCGAAAGCGUGGGGAGCAAACAGGAUUAGAUACCCUGGUAGUCCACGCUGUAAACGAUGAAUGCUAGCUGUUGGGAUGCAUGCAUC